Molecule: transfer RNA, 73 nt
Filed under: Bacteroides sp.
Lineage: Bacteria; Pseudomonadati; Bacteroidota; Bacteroidia; Bacteroidales; Bacteroidaceae
Also listed under: 1 other name
Description: tRNA-Thr
Rfam family: tRNA
About the family: Transfer RNA (tRNA) molecules are approximately 80 nucleotides in length.
Source: RNAcentral
GCCGGCGUAGCUCAGUUGGUAGAGCAGCUGAUUUGUAAUCAGCAGGUCGAGGGUUCGAGUCCCCCCGCCGGCU